AGUGAACGCUGGCGGUAGGCCUAACACAUGCAAGUCGAACGGCAGCACAGUAAGAGCUUGCUCUUACGGGUGGCGAGUGGCGGACGGGUGAGGAAUACAUCGGAAUCUACUUUUUCGUGGGGGAUAACGUAGGGAAACUUACGCUAAUACCGCAUACGACCUACGGGUGAAAGCAGGGGAUCUUCGGACCUUGCGCGAUUGAAUGAGCCGAUGUCGGAUUAGCUAGUUGGCGGGGUAAAGGCCCACCAAGGCGACGAUCCGUAGCUGGUCUGAGAGGAUGAUCAGCCACACUGGAACUGAGACACGGUCCCGACUCCUACGGGAGGCAGCAGUGGGGAAUAUUGGACAAUGGGCGCAAGCCUGAUCCAGCCAUACCGCGUGGGUGAAGAAGGCCUUCGGGUUGUAAAGCCCUUUUGUUGGGAAAGAAAAGCAGCAGGUUAAUACCCCGCUGUUCUGACGGUACCUAAAGAAUAAGCACCGGCUAACUUCGUG
This 492-nucleotide ribosomal RNA is filed under the name uncultured bacterium. RNAcentral's name for it is "partial 16S ribosomal RNA". It matches the Rfam family "Bacterial small subunit ribosomal RNA", at positions 29 to 507 of the family's 1533-position model. The record is from RNAcentral.